Molecule: long non-coding RNA, 199 nt
Filed under: Nicotiana benthamiana
Lineage: Eukaryota; Viridiplantae; Streptophyta; Magnoliopsida; Solanales; Solanaceae
Description: long non-coding RNA (NBEN_LNC038165)
Source: RNAcentral
GCCUUCCUUUGGGCCGACUUAAUAUUCACAUGGAAAACUUAAUAAUUGUCACAUAUUUAUCAACACAAGCAUGCUCUCCUUUGGGCCGGUGUUAAACGCAUGGAAUUCGAACAUACACAGUCAUAUUAUAUCUUAAAAUCAAUCAAUCUUCACAAAAGAGGUUACUUUGGUAACAUAAUGUUUCAAUUGAUAAUUUAAA